Molecule: ribosomal RNA, 293 nt
Filed under: uncultured bacterium
Lineage: Bacteria
Description: partial 16S ribosomal RNA
Rfam family: Archaeal small subunit ribosomal RNA
Source: RNAcentral
GUGCCAGCCGCCGCGGUAAUACCGGCAGCCCGAGUGAUGGCCGAUCUUAUUGGGCCUAAAGCGUCCGAAGCUGGCCGAACAAGUCCGACGGGAAAUCCACGUGCUUAACACGUGGGCGACCGGAGGAAACUGUUCGGCUUGGGGCCGGAGGACGCGAGGGGUACGUCCGGGGUAGGAGUGAAAUCCUGUAAUCCUGGACGGACCGCCGGUGGCGAGAGCGCCUCGGGAAGACGGACCCGACAGUGAGGGACGAAAGCUGGGAUCUCGAACCGGAUUAGAAACCCCUGUAGUCC